This 307-nucleotide RNase P RNA is filed under the name Nocardioidaceae bacterium. Its description in RNAcentral is "partial RNase P RNA component class A". It matches the Rfam family "Bacterial RNase P class A", at positions 113 to 367 of the family's 367-position model. From Rfam's summary of the family: Ribonuclease P (RNase P) is a ubiquitous endoribonuclease, found in archaea, bacteria and eukarya as well as chloroplasts and mitochondria. Its best characterised activity is the generation of mature 5'-ends of tRNAs by cleaving the 5'-leader elements of precursor-tRNAs. Lineage: Bacteria; Bacillati; Actinomycetota; Actinomycetes; Propionibacteriales; Nocardioidaceae. The record is from RNAcentral.
CACAGAGAACAAACCGCCGUCGUGCUUCGGCGCGUCGGUAAGGGUGAAACGGUGGUGUAAGAGACCACCAGCGUUCCGGGUGACUGGAACGGCUCGGUAAACCCCACCCGGAGCAAGGUCAAGAGGGUGGCUGGCGUGCGACGAGUCGUACGCCGGGCGCCUGCGCGGACGUUCGAGGGCGGCCCGCCCGAGUCCGCGGGUAGACCGCACGAGGCUGUCGGCAACGGCAGCCCUAGAUGGAUGGUCGCCUACCGUGACGCCGCGAGGCGUGCGGAGACAGAACCCGGCCUACAGGCCAGCUCAUCCC